This 64-nucleotide transfer RNA is filed under the name Hormaphis betulae. RNAcentral's name for it is "tRNA-Gln". The record is from RNAcentral. Lineage: Eukaryota; Metazoa; Arthropoda; Insecta; Hemiptera; Hormaphididae.
UAUAUAAGUGUGUAUCCAUUUAAAUUUUUGACAUUUAAGCUUUAGGUUAAUUUUAAAAAUAUAA